Molecule: ribosomal RNA, 92 nt
Filed under: Latilactobacillus sakei
Lineage: Bacteria; Bacillati; Bacillota; Bacilli; Lactobacillales; Lactobacillaceae
Source: RNAcentral
CACCUGUUCCCAUGUCGAACACAGUAGUUAAGCUUCUUAGCGCCGAUAGUAGUUGGUGGGAAACUACCUGCGAGGAUAGGACGUUGCCACGC